This is a long non-coding RNA of Vespa crabro (European hornet), 791 nucleotides long. RefSeq lists it as uncharacterized. The record is from RefSeq and is a predicted model, not a curated record. Lineage: Eukaryota; Metazoa; Arthropoda; Insecta; Hymenoptera; Vespidae. The transcript is spliced from 3 exons.
AUAGACAUCUUAAAUCAUUAGUUGACGUUGUUAGCAAAAUGUUUCAUAUCUAGGACGGUAAAAUUAUAAACCGUGCAAUAAUCUACGGUUGCAUAAAUCUCUAUCCGGUUUAUUGUUGCCUUUUUAAUGUUCAUCGAUCAUUAACGUGGUCGCGAGAAGUGUAAUUUCUGCAACAGGCUUGUUCAACAAUUAUUACUGUGCGAAUGUUGACGAUAGGAAAGUCUCAUCAUUAUUCUACCAAUCAAACAAACGUCUCAGAGACAGACGUCCGAGUGUGCUUUAUAUAUUAUUCUCGUUCAAUUCUGGUCUUCAUCAACUUCAUGAUAGUGAUUUACAAGUUCUAGUUCAGUAGAGCAAAUAAAGUGACCUGGUGGAAAUUUCCUGCCGUAAUUUUAAUCGGUGAUCGUCCAGUGCGAAACAUCAAGCAAAUAUGAUACCGCGUGAUGAUGCGAUUAAAGUCACGUAUAUUGUGACGACAUUUUAUACGUGAAAAUAUGCUGCAUCUUUUAUCCCAAAGAUAAAGUAUGAUUAACAAAAUAGAAAGGAAAUUUUGUACUUACAUACAUUUACUAUAUUUUAUUUUUUAUUUACUGUUUAUUAUUCAUAUUCUACUAAAAGAUUAUCUCUUCACUCAAUAAGCACAGACAACCUAAAAUGGUUGGAUAUUACUGCUUGAUAUUAUCAUGCUUAAUUCUAAUAGACACACUUUUCGUAACAAUAACAGUAACAUUAACGUAAAAAUCUACAAGAUACAAAAUUCCAUAACUGCGUUAUAAGUUACAGAAGUAAAU